GGAAUUGUUCGCAAUGGGCGCAAGCCUGACGACGCAACGCCGCGUGGAGGACGAAGAUCUUCGGGUCGUAAACUCCUGUCGAGCGGGAAGAAACCCGCGGGGAUGAAUAAUCCCUGCCGCUGACGGUACCACUACAGGAAGCCCCGGCUAACUCCGUUCCAGCAGCCGCGGUAAUACGGGGGGGGCCAGCGUUGUUCGGAAUUACUGGGCGUAAAGGGCUCGUAGGCGGCCAACUAAGUCGGAUGUGAAAUCCCCAGGCUCAACCUGGGAACUGCAUCCGAUACUGGAUGGCUUGAAUUCGGGAGAGGGAUGCAGAAUUCCAGGUGUAGCGGUGAAAUGCGUAGAUAUCUGGAGGAAUACCGGUGGCGAAGGCGGCAUCCUGGACCGACAUUGACGCUGAGGAGCGAAAGCUAGGGAAGCAAAC
This 424-nucleotide ribosomal RNA is filed under the name uncultured bacterium. RNAcentral's name for it is "bacterial SSU rRNA". It matches the Rfam family "Bacterial small subunit ribosomal RNA", at positions 358 to 773 of the family's 1533-position model. The record is from RNAcentral.